RNAcentral lists this ribosomal RNA (450 nucleotides) under uncultured bacterium. RNAcentral's name for it is "partial 16S ribosomal RNA". It matches the Rfam family "Bacterial small subunit ribosomal RNA", at positions 354 to 796 of the family's 1533-position model. The record is from RNAcentral.
GUAGGGAAUCUUCCACAAUGGACGAAAGUCUGAUGGAGCAACGCCGCGUGAGUGAAGAAGGUCUUCGGAUCGUAAAACUCUGUUGUUAGAGAAGAACGUGCAUGAUAGUAACUGAUCAUGUAAUGACGGUAUCUAACCAGAAAGCCACGGCUAACUACGUGACAGCAGCCGCGGUAAUACGUAGGUGGCAAGCGUUGUCCGGAUUUAUUGGGCGUAAAGGGAACGCAGGCGGUUUUUUAAGUCUGAUGUGAAAGCCUUCGGCUUAACCGAAGAAUAGCAUUGGAAACUUGAAGACUUGAGUGCAGAAGAGGAGAGUGGAAUUCCAUGUGUAGCGGUGAAAUGCGUAGAUAUAUGGAGGAACACCAGUGGCGAAAGCGGCUCUCUGGUCUGUAACUGACGCUGAGGUUCGAAAGCGUGGGUAGCAAACAGGAUUAGAUACCCUUGUAGUCC